Lycium barbarum (goji berry) is the source of this 345-nucleotide long non-coding RNA. RefSeq lists it as uncharacterized. Lineage: Eukaryota; Viridiplantae; Streptophyta; Magnoliopsida; Solanales; Solanaceae. The record is from RefSeq and is a predicted model, not a curated record. The transcript is spliced from 3 exons.
CCUAUUUUCUCAUUUUGGGAGCAAUUUCCAAACGUAACCAGCAGCCCCAAGUUAUACUUAGCUAAAUAAUUUCUCAUGAACUUAUGCAGCAACGUUUCACACUUAUUUUAUGAAAGCAAGUAUAGUUCUUGUUCAAAUAUCUAACAGGAGCAAGAUUGUUCUUGGCAAAUUUAAGUGAAAAGGAUGGUUGAUAGAUUCAUCAAUUAAGUCUUACGAGUUCGAGAAGUAGACGUUGGACAAUUAGAUAGAAACCCAGGUACAAACGACUGAUUUACCGAUCCGCCCGCUUAGGAUUCUAUUCUGCUGUCUUGGAGUGCUCGGUUGUCCGGAGCCUACGUCUUGGUA